Molecule: long non-coding RNA, 725 nt
Organism: Lathyrus oleraceus (garden pea)
Lineage: Eukaryota; Viridiplantae; Streptophyta; Magnoliopsida; Fabales; Fabaceae
Exons: 2
Source: RefSeq, a predicted model, not a curated record
CAAAGGUGCCAAUAUCUCUAAGCUAAGAACACGGACGCGCUUAGCAGGAUAAGGAAAUUCAUGACUUCAGGGCUAGUUACUUCAAUGUGAAGGAAGGGUCUGGUGGCUUAGACAGUGUGGGCGAUGCGCUUAGCAAGCUAAGGCGACAAGGAAGUUGUAGGUUUUUACUUUAAUCGGAGCCUCGAUCGAGAAAAGGAGUGAAAAAGAGCUAAAAACACUAAAAUUCAGCAUUUUGUACUUGUGGCCUACCCCAUGGCUGGCGCCAUAGACCCUGCCAUGAUGUGUCCAAGCUCAACUUCCCUCAACUGCCACGUUCCCAACUACUUCCACUAAGGCGCCUCAGAUUGGCCUUGUGGCGGGCGCCAUGGCCUUGUGGCGGGCGCCACAAGAGGAAAAGUUUUCCCUUCCAUUUUCAAGUUGAAGGACAUCCUUGUCAUUUCCAUCUUUUUACUUUCUUAUAAAUAGAAACUCGAAAUCACUUUUACAAUCAUCCAAACUUAGAACAGAGGUAAACUCAGAGCAACUUUGUUUCACUUAGGCAUAUAUUCAGUAUUAUAAAGUGGUAAUCGCUUUGCAUUGGAGUGUUACCACAAUUGUGUAAUCGAGUCUGUGAUAGAGUCUGUAAUCGAGUUUGGAGCACUUUGGAAGGAAGUUAAUCCUACCGCCAUUUUCAUUUCUGCUUUGCAAUUUAUUCAAUCCUCCGAUUGGAGCAGGUUUUUAUUUCC